UGGCGUUGCUUGCAAUGACCAGUUUUGCUCCAUUUGUACCUUCUUGCCUUUUUUUGGCCUCUAGUUAGACUCAAAGUGCUCUGGUGCUUGGAUCACCUUUUUGUUACUGAUACUCAGGAUAUCUCCAGCAGUGAAGUCCUGGCCCCAGAUGAGGUUCUCCGUGGCCGACUUGUGGCUGUGAAGCCGUCACUGCUGUUUGUUCUGCUGGGACCAAACCUGCAAAUCUUUCGGAGAAGACGGACGCUCUAACAGGCUCUGCGGCUGAAUGUUAGGCAGGAAACCAAAGGAUGAAAACAGGGUGCAAGAGAAAAGCUGAAGGCAAACCCCAGGUACUAAAGCAACAUAGCUGUGGAAAGCAAACUAACUAACCAAUGGAAGCGUGGAGUACUCAGCGUCAAGAUUCAAUUCUCACAACCUUUCAUCUUAUCAGUGGCUACAAACAUGAGCAAUUUGGCUUACUCCUGCAGAAAUUCUAAAUGCUUCAUUAUGAAGACUGAAAAAAAGUAGCAUUAAAUACCUCACCCUUCCUUGGGUCAUAAGUUGUUUGUCCUCCUUCCUCUUUCAGUGUCUGCCAAUGAAGUCAUGGUACAGAAACAGCGAUAUCACAGCAGUGCAACAGUAACAGAAUUUGGCUCACAAGUUCCGCUCUGUUGCCCGUGCAAGCCGUGUUGGACCUCACAACGCGAACACCAACGAUGAAGGCUGCUGACUUUAGCAGUCCAGCAUGAAGAUGAAUUUCAAUGACGUAUCUGAGACUUGUUUUCUUCAACUUCAUGAUCAUGGCAUAUAUCAUAUGAACGUGUGGAGUUGCCUCCUCUUGUUCUUAGGUCAUUUCUAUUAAUGGUACAAGUGCCGAUGGAAUUCAUUAACAACAGCUGAUUUGAAGCAGGACGUCCCAGUCUCUCACCAGCCCAUUUAUGCUUAGAUCUACCCUUUCCAAAAGACCUCUGUGUUCGAUAACUUCAAACCUGGAGAGGCUGUAAACACUCAGGGAGGCUGGGCUUUGAAGUGAACAUGGCCCUGAGGAUUUUCAGCUUUUCUAAGGUUGCCCUUUCAGACCACACAGAGCUGUGACCAGAGAGGGUUCAGCAUUUAUUGUUUUCCAUUGAUUCGAGGGAGCUCAAACUGUCAAAGAACUGGGGGCAAAGUGAAUUUUCUCCUGGACCUGGACUCAGCUUCAAAGAGGGAAAAGGAGAUUCGGACAUGGGUUUCAGCUCACAGAGACCCAGCUCGUGCUCAGAGAGGCUGUUGCAGAACAGAAGUAGAAGGGGCAGGGGCCAAGGUUCAGCACCAGGGUAUGGCAGGGGUCUUCCAGAAGAGCAUCCAGCCUUGGCAGCUGAACCUCCUGCCCGGUGCCCGUUGAGCGGUCACAGCCCACCUGGAGCCACCUGAACCCUGCUACAGGUCUGCUCUCACCUUAACCUCCCUCACUCCUGUUCUUUAGUUACCUUCAGCAAAGUUUGAGAGUGAAACUGGGAAAUACCCAUGUGGGAACUUCUAAGAUCUAACCUAUGAAACCACUUGAUUUACCAAGUAUAGUAAAAAUAGUCUGUCUAUAAACUCGAGUCAAGAUCAAAGCUUCUUUGUGCUUGCCACUUACUAUUCAAAGCACAACGGGUCAGAUUCAACCUAGAAGCAACCCUAAAAGCUGGCCUGGCGUAGUACUUUUUUGCAUGUUGAGCUGGGAUUUGUAAAAUGCAGUCGUGCCAACACUAGCAGGUCAGAAAGCAGUAAACUGAGUGCCUCCCGGGUUGGACCUACUGAACAUACAUGACAGACCUGAUGGGCAGUCACCUUCCAGACCGGACUCCUGGGCUACCAGAGACAGACCUGCCACUUGAGGAAGUGGCAAAUGAUUUUCAAAGUUAAUUCAAGUUGUUUAAAGAGCUACGCGGAAACUGCAAGGAGACUUUCCUUCCCCGUAACAAGAACCCAUCACAAGAGGGACUUGUGCGUCUGCACGGCCUUCCUCCCCUUGCCUCCCCAGCUAGGCGAAGCGGCUUUCUACAGGAGGAGGGUUGGUGACAUCCCCUCCAGCGGUGACAAGCCAACCGCUCAAGCACAAACGACGAUGCUCUCCGCCCCUGGGAAUGGCUGAAUUCCAGAAAGGAGCUUUGAGUUCAUAGCACCCAUCUGAUCUGUGCAUAGCUAUAUGCACGCAGGGCUACAGGUUGUGACACAGUUUUCAUUUAGUUAGUUAUAUUACAAGCCAUACAGUUAAUUAAAGAAAUAUAUUAAAAAAAAAAACAAAUGAAUUCCAAUGAAUUAUUCCUCUCAUCCAUAAAAAGAUCAUGCUCUUCAUUAAUACAAUCAGACUUUAGUUCCUGCUCAACUGUAAGAGGGUGUGUGCUAUUCAUUUUAGAUUUUAUUUUAUCUGUUCAUGUUUCAUAAUCUGUAAUUCAUACUUCAUUAAGGAACCACUGGCUUAUUCAAAAGGAGGCUGGUGAGAUAGACCGGACUUUAAUGUUUGAAUUGAGAAACUAGUUUGUUUUGUGAUUUAAUCUAAAAUAAGACUGAAAAAAAGGUAUCAAGCAUAACUGUCAAGGCAUCACAGAGCGUCUAGAUUUGCCUGCUAUCAGGGACAAAAGAUGAUCAGUGAACUUUUCUACAAUGCAUCUAAAUUAAACUGUAAUUAAACUACUGGUUUUAGAAUGAGGGAAAAUCUAGAAUGAUCUAAUGGUUAAGAGGCUGUCAUACGUGUUGGAAAUAUGUUGGCAAUAUGUAAGUGCAGGCUUCCCUGAAGUCACAUCACUAUUAAUUGAGAAUGUAACUCUGGGCACUGAGUUGUCCCAUUGCUUCCUUAUUUCUGAUUAGCAGCUCCAACAGCUCUCUAUACUCCCAAUGCCAAAUGACAUUUUAAAAAGUUGAGGAGGAAAUAAGAUGCUAUGCCAUAAUUCCAUUAAACAGUUUUAACAAGCCCA
Molecule: long non-coding RNA, 2921 nt
Organism: Harpia harpyja (harpy eagle)
Lineage: Eukaryota; Metazoa; Chordata; Aves; Accipitriformes; Accipitridae
Exons: 10
Source: RefSeq, a predicted model, not a curated record